RNAcentral lists this ribosomal RNA (439 nucleotides) under uncultured bacterium. RNAcentral describes it as "partial 16S ribosomal RNA". It matches the Rfam family "Bacterial small subunit ribosomal RNA", at positions 338 to 795 of the family's 1533-position model. The record is from RNAcentral.
CCUACGGGAGGCAGCAGUGGGGAAUUUUGCGCAAUGGGGGAAACCCUGACGCAGCAACGCCGCGUGCGGGACGACGGCCCUCGGGUUGUAAACCGCUUUCAGUGGGGACGAUGGUGACGGUACCCACAGAAGAAGCUCCGGCUAACUACGUGCCAGCAGCCGCGGUAAUACGUAGGGAGCGAGCGUUAUCCGGAUUCAUUGGGCGUAAAGCGCGCGUAGGCGGCUGCCUAAGCGGAACCUCUAAUCCCGGGGCUCAACCUCGGGCCGGGUUCCGAACUGGGCGGCUCGAGUGCGGUAGAGGCAGGCGGAAUUCCCGGUGUAGCGGUGGAAUGCGCAGAUAUCGGGAAGAACACCGAUGGCGAAGGCAGCCUGCUGGGCCGUCACUGACGCUGAGGCGCGAAAGCUGGGGGAGCGAACAGGAUUAGAUACCCCUGUAGUC